Phrynosoma platyrhinos (Desert horned lizard) is the source of this 71-nucleotide non-coding RNA. The record is from the annotation of a GenBank genome assembly. Lineage: Eukaryota; Metazoa; Chordata; Lepidosauria; Squamata; Phrynosomatidae.
GCCUCAUGGUUUAGUGGUUUGAGUAUUGGACUACAACUCUAGAGACCAGAGUUUGAUUCCCUGCUCAGCCA